UACGAACUGUGCGAACGUUAUUCGGAAUCACUGGGCUUAAAGGGUGCGUAGGCGGUUACUUAAGUAGGAUGUGAAAUCUCCCGGCUCAACCGGGGAACUGCGUUCUAAACUGAGUGACUUGAGUAAGAUAGAGGUGUGCGGAACUUCCGGUGGAGCGGUGAAAUGUGUUGAUAUCGGAGGGAACACCGUUGGCGAAAGCGGCACACUGGGUCUUAACUGACGCUGAGGCACGAAAGCGUGGGGAGCGAACAGG
RNAcentral lists this ribosomal RNA (253 nucleotides) under uncultured bacterium. RNAcentral describes it as "partial 16S ribosomal RNA". It matches the Rfam family "Bacterial small subunit ribosomal RNA", at positions 524 to 776 of the family's 1533-position model. The record is from RNAcentral.